CUCCUCGAUGGUCUCGGUCCGUGGCACCGACAGGGAAAAGCGGCGCUUGAAGUUCUUCAUCUUGUUCAUCGUUGGCGGGACCAGGUGCUGAGUCAGAGUGAGGAGAGCAGCCAGCCUGGAAGGGGUCCUUCCCCUGGUCCUGCAGGCUGCUCCCCAAUGCAGCUAAGAGUCCGGAACGGAUGGAGGGCAGUGCCGAGGAAUGUGCAUUUUUUCGUAAAGUACCCCCAGUGAUCUGGAAAUGGAACCGUCGUUGGGAGUCAUCUGAGGCUCAGCUUCUGCUCAAAGGUAAUGACGUGCCAGAAAAGAGGCCCCGUAUAAGGCUCCCCAGACAUCCCUCACAGACUUCCCUGCAGCCUGUGAAAUGCUCUGAGACCCUGGGACAGAGGGCGCACGAAGCAGGGAGCAUGGUCCCCUAUCAGCAGGCCUGACCACUGGACCAAGAGGGACAGGCCAGGCAGGCUGGGGCCCCCACUUAGGCUGACGCAACUCGCCAGACCCUGGCCUUCUGGCAGAUGGUUCUCAUCCCUGGGUGUCCAGGCAGUGCACACAUGGCCUGCUGCCCCCCACCGCUGGACAACUUCUGCCAGGCCUCGGACCUGACACCUGCCCUGGGGCUGGGACGUCAGGGAGGCCCCGCCUGGGAGAACAUGGAGCACAGAGAGAGGCUGGCUGAGCAUCCACGGAAGAGCAGCAGGGAGGCUCCACAUCUCAGAAGCCGGGCUGCACAUGGUGCGGAGGGCAGGUCGGCCUCACUCCUUAGCUUCAGGGAGCAAGGCUUGGACAUCCCUCUCAGCAAACCCUUACGCUCCUUGGGGCACUGGCUGCCCACUACACCUACCAGGUAGUGUAAUAAAAGCCCUGAGUGAGAAAGAAGCCCUCUGCCCACUUUCUGAAUAAAGUAGCCUGCACCCAAGGCCCCUCAAGAUCCGGCUGCCCUUUCUCCCUGGCUUUCUCUCCCCACUUUCCCCAAGUCCAGCUCUGCUCCAGCCACACCCCUGCUUGCAGUCAGGUCUCGAGUCUUCUGCGGUUUCCCUGACCCUGCAGGGCCUCUGGGGCCCCUCUGAUGGGCACACUCCAUGCACAGGGUGGUCUCCCAGGACCACAGCGAGGACUUCUCAGGUGCCUCCCUCACUAGGGGCACUUUGGGCCUGUGCCCAGGGCUGGUGACAUGCAGUAGAUCUGGCUGUUUCACAAGGACAUGGUGGGCACCUACUGUGUGCCAGGCACAUGUCAGAUGCUUCUCCAAAGCCCUCUUUUUGGGUUGUUUUAUGAUCUCAGUCUCCAUGGACCCAGGGCAGGAGCUGAAGGACAGAACAUCCAACUGCCCCCUUUCUGAAGCCCGGAGAGUGUGACCCUCAGUCUCAACGGCUGACCAGCCAGGAGCCUUAUAAUGCCCUCUGCUAUCCACUCCCUGUCCCCACCUUGGUCACUUAGCCACUUUGAGCCUUUGGGUGGGUUUCAAAAGAACCACAGGCCACAGCCGACUGACUCUGUGGACGUCAUGGGCUGAGGCUUCAGGGGCACUUCCUCCUCCCGGCGCGGACCCUGCCUGCAGGGAGUCUGCAGAUACCAUCUCUUCCUUCACCCUCUCAGAGACUCUGCCCUGCACAGUUCCAGGCUUCCGUUUCCCUAGCUUGGACAAACCUCACGGGAAGCCUGAGGAACCCCGUGGCUGCCUGGAGUCCCCACUCUGGCCUUGCUGCAGCCUGGAUGAGAGAGGCUCUGAGCCUGGGGCCUUCUGGGUGGUCAGAAGCCAGCAGGACUGAUAGGCCGCAGUCGCCCUGCCAAGGGACAGAGGCUUCCCGCAGCCUCUGUUUGGACGGGAAGGCCUUCUGGGAGCAAGUGGGCCUAACCUACGGAAGCCCAGUCGGGAGGCAAAGCAUCUGGGGCUUGGGAUCGAUCACCUCUGCUCUGGACAGAAAGUGUCCUUCCUGACACAAGUGCCCCACAGUGAAGGUCACAUGCUGUCCAGGCCUUCUUUCCAAACUCUCGGCAAUUUGGAGUCAUGGGAGAAAUCCCAGCUCCCCUGCUCACUCCUGCUCCGGGAAGACAACCCGCACCCGUUUUCUUGUCUGCCAAAUGGGAUAAUGACUAACCUCUAUCCAGUUGUCACCAGGCCUGGAGACUUAACUUUCCCACUCAUCUUCUGGUGAUGUCAUUCCCUGUUUAAACCCCUUCCGUAUCACAUUGUCCUUAGGUAAAAGCCCGGCAAACUGGACCACAUGUGUCUGGGUCCCCGUGUCCUUCCUGCGUCUCAGCUUUCCCCGGCCUGCAGGGUCCACUUGAAGGGAACAUACUUGGCACUCCUGGACUUAAGCACACUCAGGGCCCCAGCCUUGCACACGCCGUUCAUCUGGCCUGGCAUGCCCUUCCUCAUUUUUCCCUUGGAAAAACCACCUCCCAACUCGUGUCCCUUCCCCCAGGAAACCACACAUGACCACCUCCUUCCUUUAGGUAAACUGAGAUGCUUCCUCCUCGUCGCUUCCAGACCAGCCUGUGUCCAUUAUUAACUAGGUUGUGACGUCCUUCAGGACAAGAGCGGGGUCUCACUCAGCUCUGGUUUCCAGGACCUUACAGAGUGUAGGAAAGCGCCCAGGUGCUCGGCAUUUGUGGAAUGAAUAAGCAAAUGGCUGAGUGAGAUCAUCGAGCCGCCUUAUCACGAUGACUUGUGUAAGCCUCUUUCCUCUACAGGUGUAUGAACACUAGGCUCACUGAGGACAAAGACCUUUGUUCACCUUGCAUCUCAAGAUCUCUGCAGGCAGUCAGGGUUGCUUGCCUUCCUUCUGCUUUUGGCUGGGCCAGGGACUUGUUUCAACUCCAUCUUCUACUAUCAGGCCAGCUCCACCCCUGGUGGGCCUUGAGCACAACCGGGGUGGGCCUGGCCCUGCCCUCUCUCUGGGCAUACGAGAGCCAGCCGCAGGGGGCCAGCCAGCCAGCCCUAGCCUCCCCAGACAGCGGUCCCCCUUGGUCCUCCUGGCCCUCAGUGAGUGGGCCAGGGGCUCUGUGCCAGUGAAGCGCUCACAUUUUCGGGGCUCAAGCCAGGCUCAACCUCUUUCCUAGACACCUUCCAUGAUGUCCCACCCAGCCUGACACCCCUCUGGCCCCCAUCAGGUGGGGGCCCCUCCUCUGUGUUCGCACAGCAUUCUAGACACCCCCAGGUAGGGUGCUUGGCUCCCUGCAGAGUAACUUCACCUAUUUCCCUACUUUGCCUGUGAGCUUAUUAGUGACGAGGUCUGACUCAUCAUUACACCCCCGAUGCCUGACACGGGGCCUGGCAUGGAGCGAACCAACAAUGAUCAGCAAGCGACUAUAGAAAAGCUCUCAAUUCCUAGUUCCAGGAGCUGUUUGGAGGCAGGAGGACUGCCAGGAGACUGUCCGUUGCCCAGCGGACUUGACACCUCAGCUGUAAGCUAACCCUCCUUCUCCAGCCGGCGCUUGGCCCUAAAGGCAGUGGCAGGGGCAGAGGGGCAGAGGGGCAUAGGGGCAGCCUCCUCCCCAGUGGCAGCCCUCUGAGGUCUGCAGAGGUCUCUGCACUGGCAGGUGAGGGGCGGAUGGGGAUUAAAAUCCUAAUGAGAGGUUCCAACCGAACACCCAUGUUGGGAACUCCAGAGCUUGAGGGAAGGGGGUGUUGGUGGGGACCAGGGUACCUCCUCAUGGGCUCCCAUCACUCAGGGGCAGAUUCCUGGAGCCUCAGAGGUCAUGGGCACCUCGGCCUCAGCCCCUCCAGAUGACCCUGCUGAGCCCGAUGCCCCACUUCAGCCCCUCUGUGGGGGCCCCGCGUCAGCCCUGCUGAUACUCCACUGCUCUCCUUGGCUUUCUAAGGCUCAAGGAAUGGAGGCACGUAUAGCAUCUUCUGGUAUUUUCUUUUUGACCUUUUUUGGAGACCCGCUAAGUUUGGCCUGCAGUCUUUGCGGGGAGGCUCUGGAUCUCCAAAUAAUAAGAUGGGACAAGGCGUCUUUCCUUUAGCUCUGGUCUUGGCCGUGCAGAACAUCCCAGAUGGAGGCUGCAGCAAGGGUGCAGGCCAGACCUCACCGACCUCGUCCUGCUUCAGACAAGGCCUGCCUCCUCCCCUCCCGGGCAGAGGAAACUCUCCCUUUCCCUCUAGCAGCCCCUGUUAAAGACCCGCAAAGCAGGUUCCUCGGCAACCUUGCCCAGUGUUCUCCCAAUUCCAAAGUAUGGGUACUUUCUUGGUCUUCCUCAAAUCCAAACAAAGCAGCUCACAUCUGUCUCCACUCCAUCUGUUUACAUAGAUGCUGAUGCCCACCGUCUUCCCCACAGUAAAAAGGAGGAGAAAUAAAGGGCACCAGGGUCAUCCACCUCUAGCUUUCCCUUGUCCAGAUGUCAAAAGCCCAGCCUCUUGAUGGUCUGACAUGGGGUCUUUGUUCACGCCUCUCUGGUUUUCUUGCCAUGCCCAACUUUAGCAACAGACUGCAGGCCCUUCAAAGCUGGCUUCCCUGGGGACCGCUCAGUCUCAUGAGCAGGGAGGGCCGGAAGGGAGAGUUUCCCGGCAUCUCUAGGCCAUAUUCCUAUUUAUAUCCACUCCCAGCACCCCCCUCCCACCAGCCUGACCCAACCACUCCGUGCCCACAUCCCAACAGGACCCUCUGGUCAGUACUCUCCAACCUUUAGGGGAAGGCGGCCUUGUCACACUCCACAGGUUCCCCUGCCCCAGGUUGGGCCCAGGAGGCCACCUUGGCCUGCACCACCUCCCCGCCUUCCCUGUUUCUGGGAACCUCUGAACGUCUUGCAGUGGUUCAACUGUUGCCUAAACGCCCCCAUCAGCGGCUCCUGCUCCCCAGAGCUGAGCCUCCUCGACGGCACUGGGUUUCUUGCAGUCACUCACUCAUUUCACAAGUACCUACUCGGUGCCGGGCACUGUCCUAGGGUUCAAGCCUCAUCUUACCCUCCUCCUUGGCCUCCUAGUUUUCCCUGCUUCUUUCUCCCUCCAAGUCUGGGGGACUCACUUCCCCUACCUGUCCCUGAACGUCAGCACUCCCAGAGUCCCCUCUGGCCCUCUGCUCUUCCCCUCCGCACGCUCUGCCCUGGUGGAGACCACCACCCACGUGCUGACGGCUCCCAGGCCCACGGCUCUGCCUGCCAGACGCCUCUAUCUGGAUGCCUUCCAGGGUCUGAGGGCAGAGAUAUCAGAAUAACCCCCACCGGCCCUAGGACAGUCCUGGAGAUAGCAAAUAGGUUGAGAUUUGUUUUUAAAUGAAAAGCGUAGAUGUGUAAAAACUGUGUGUGUGCUAGGUAUACAUACACACAUGUCAUAUGUACACAUAUAAAUACAAACACUGUAUAUAACCCAGAAAGAUUUAAGUUAAAAUGCUAACAGUAGUUAUCUCAGGUGGCAGAAUUAUGGGCGAUCUUAAUAUCUUCUUUCUUAUUUGCCUCUUCUAAUAUUUCUAUAAUAAACAUUCACUGCUUAUGUUAAAAGAAGUUAACACUUCUUUUUACAUGAAAAGAAAGUAUUUUUAGAUUGAGAUUCCAGAACUGUUUAGUGCAAGCCUUGGAAGAACUAUAAUUAUCUUGAGCGGGGGUCGGCAAAUGGUUUCUGUAAACGGCCAGCCAGCCAGUAUGUUAGGCAUCGCGGAUCACACAGCCUGUUGCAAUCAGACAAUUCUACCCUUGUACAAAGUACCCAUAGAUAAGAUGUAAACAAAUGAGUGUGGCCAUGUUCCACUAAACCUUUAUUCAUGGGCAUUAAAAUUUGAAUUUUAUAUUUUCAAGGGUCAUAAAAUGUUAGUUUCUCCUUUUGAAUUUUUCCCAACCACUUAAAACUGUAGAUGCUCACAGGCCAUAAGACAGGCUGGAUUUGGCCAAGAGCCUUAUCCAUCACCAUUCAGGGCUUGAAUGGUGUUUGGAUCUGGCACCUGCUCCUCUGGGAGGUGCUUUUUCUCCUCCUGCCUGAUGGGGGAAGCCCUCCAGGGUUUGCUUGUCCCUCUGAGCCAUGGCAGGGCCAGGCUAACUGGGAGAAGCUGUGCUCCAGAGUUUGGAGGAAAAGAAGGUGAGUCCCUCCUGGGGUCUCAGAGCACAGCUCACAGCGUCAGCAGGACUGACAGAAGCUGGAACCACAAACCAGCAGACUUGGACAGGGCUUUAGAGAACUCUUGGUCCGUUUCUCAUUUUUCAGGGUAAGACAUGCAGACAGGGAAUGACCACCGACGGCCGGUAAGGUUGGUGGGGCAGAGCUGAGACUACACCUGAGGGCUUGCUGACUUUGAGUUCAGUGGCCUUUCUGCUCCCCUGGCAAGGGACUGCAAGGAUGUGCCCAGAAAUGGCAUUCCCUCCACAGGGCAACACUACCCUGGCAAUCAGCAGCCCAGUCAAGGGCCGCCUUGCACAGGGAAGAAACCGUCAGGCCUGGCAUCAGCCCGGAAUGUGGCACCCAGCCCAGCUAUGGUGGAGCGGUAGGGGGGUGCUGACAGUUGGGCUCCAUGCCAGGAACAGGGAGGGCUCUGGGACCCCUCUCCUGGUCUCAUCCCAGGCGGUGAUGGCAGAGGUGGUCUGGAGGCCCAGCAUGGCCAUCGUGAGCGAAGCCCUCCAGCCUGGGACCUUCACCUGCUGCUUCUGGGCACUGGGUACUGACAGGACAUGGGGAAGGACGGCCACAGCCCUCCCUGCACCUGGCCACCCAGCAAGGAUCUCUUUGGCUGGGUACCUGGGGCCAGACAAGAGAAGCAGCCCUGGUUCUGAGGG
Manis javanica (Malayan pangolin) is the source of this 6699-nucleotide long non-coding RNA. RefSeq lists it as uncharacterized. The record is from RefSeq and is a predicted model, not a curated record. Lineage: Eukaryota; Metazoa; Chordata; Mammalia; Pholidota; Manidae.